GGGCGAGCGGCGGACGGGUUAGUAACGCGUGGGAACGUGCCCAGAUCUACGGAAUAGCCACUGGAAACGGUGAGUAAUACCGUAUACGCCCUUCGGGGGAAAGAUUUAUCGGAUUUGGAUCGGCCCGCGUUAGAUUAGGUAGUUGGUGGGGUAACGGCCUACCAAGCCUACGAUCUAUAGCUGGUUUUAGAGGAUGAUCAGCAACACUGGGACUGAGACACGGCCCAGACUCCUACGGGAGGCAGCAGUGGGGAAUCUUGGACAAUGGGGGCAACCCUGAUCCAGCCAUGCCGCGUGAGUGAAGAAGGCCCUAGGGUCGUAAAACUCUUUCGCCUGUGAUGAUAAUGACAGUAGCAGGUAAAGAAACCCCGGCUAACUCCGUGCCAGCAGCCGCGGUAAUACGGAGGGGGUUAGCGUUGUUCGGAAUUACUGGGCGUAAAGCGCACGUAGGCGGAUUAGAAAGUUAGAGGUGAAAUCCCGGGGCUCAACCCCGGAACUGCCUUUAAAACUACUAAUCUAGAGUUCGAGAGAGGUGAGUGGAAUUCCGAGUGUAGAGGUGAAAUUCGUAGAUAUUCGGAGGAACACCAGUGGCGAAGGCGGCUCACUGGCUCGAUACUGACGCUGAGGUGCGAAAGUGUGGGGAGCAAACAGGAUUAGAUACCCUGGUAGUCCACACCGUAAACGAUGAAUGCCAGUCGUCGGGUAGUAUACUAUUCGGUGACACACCUAACGGAUUAAGC
This 740-nucleotide ribosomal RNA is filed under the name alpha proteobacterium SCGC AAA015-L03. Its description in RNAcentral is "SSU rRNA". It matches the Rfam family "Bacterial small subunit ribosomal RNA", at positions 89 to 865 of the family's 1533-position model. The record is from RNAcentral. Lineage: Bacteria; Pseudomonadati; Pseudomonadota; Alphaproteobacteria.